This 818-nucleotide ribosomal RNA is filed under the name Foraminifera environmental sample. RNAcentral describes it as "SSU rRNA". It matches the Rfam family "Eukaryotic small subunit ribosomal RNA", at positions 1160 to 1678 of the family's 1831-position model. The record is from RNAcentral. Lineage: Eukaryota; Foraminifera.
AAGGGCACCACAAGAACGCGUGGAGCAUGUGGCUUAAUUUGACUCAACGCGGGAAAUCUUACCGGGUCCGGACACACUGAGGAUUGACAGGCGAAGCAGUAGAUUAUUAAUUUUUUGCUAGUCAAAGGAUUUAACAAAUUUACUCUGUAAAUAUGCUAGUCCUUUCAUGAUUGUGUGAUAGGUGGUGCAUGGCCGUUCUUAGUUCGUGGAAUAAUCUGUCUGCUUAAUUGCGUCAAAACUUUCAGGCACACUCUCUGUUAUUAGGAACUUUUGUUGCAGGUAGCUUGGCUUCGGUUAGGCAUGCCUGUGGUGAUUGUGACUAGGGGAUGCUGUGUCUUUUGAAACGGACGUGACGCUGACUCUUUCUUGUCUUACAUGAUCUCAUACUAAUCUUUUAGGUUGGUGUGGGUGUGAUCGCAUGUAAGUUAAGUAAGGGGACUGUUGGGGAAUACCCAAAGGAAGGUAGGCGCAAUAACAGGUCUGUGAUGCCCUUAGAUGUUCCGGGCUGCACACGUGCUACAAUGAACAGUGCAGUAAGCAUAUACUCAAUUAUACAUUGUCACUCUCACGAGUGCUUUGUAUAAAAACCUACUUCGAGAGAUAGUAGGCAAUCAUUUCGAAGUACUGAUUUCCCUAAGCUAACAUGUGGAUUCUUUCUUCGGAUUGAAUUUCACGUUGCUCUUCUUGUGAGACUUCAUAGUGGGGACAGAGGGUUGUUUAUUUUCCCUCUCGUUUUUAACUAGGAAUGCCUUGUACGGGUCUUUGGUUCAACAAACCACCCGGAAUACGUCCCUGCCCUUUGUACACACCGCCCGUCA